CACGCAAACACACACACACACACACACACACACACUGGGUUCAGGUACUCGUACAUUCAGAAUCACACCGAUACUGGACCCAGAUGGUUCCAUGGAUUGUCGUUGAUGUUUAACAUCGGAGGAAACCGGAGUACCGGAAGAAACCCACACAGGCACGGGGAGAACAUGCAAGCUCCACACAGGCGCGGCCGGGAUCGAACUCAGAUCCUCAGAACUCCAAGACAAACAUCGGCUGCGCGUUUCAUCUCACCUCCCACGACGAAUGCAGGGGGGGGAAAAAACUGAAGGCGUAUGAAAAAUGCUGUGAGUUGUUUAUGCCGCUCCAGACAAUCUGAUGAGGACUACGAGGCGGUGGCGCGUUACGCAACGACUGCACAUCGGGGAGCGGCUCUGCGGCUCCAAGAAGAUUGAUUUCGGCUUCGUUGAACAUUAUUAAAGAUGUCUUCCAUUUCAGGUUCAGCGGAAAGAUAAUUGGAUGCUUGCAUACGGAUCAUGUUCAGGAAAAGAAAACCAUCCAACAAAUCAAAGGUUUGAUAUUUCUUCCCAAGCUAAGUGGAUUGAUAUUUCACGCUUGAGUUUAUGAACGGCACCUUACACAAAAAUGAUAGAUAUCAACAUUUCGUUCGGUCCAAGUUAAAAGGUAAUUGAUAGUUGACCUUUAUAUAGUGAUACACUAUCAUAACAGAAAUUGAUCAAUCACAAUAGCGCUAUUUUUUUUCUAGGCUUGG
Long non-coding RNA from Syngnathoides biaculeatus (alligator pipefish), 728 nucleotides. RefSeq lists it as uncharacterized. The record is from RefSeq and is a predicted model, not a curated record. The transcript is spliced from 5 exons. NCBI's taxonomy places the organism in Eukaryota, Metazoa, Chordata, Actinopteri, Syngnathiformes, Syngnathidae.